Long non-coding RNA from Diospyros lotus (date-plum), 260 nucleotides. RefSeq lists it as uncharacterized. The transcript is spliced from 3 exons. Lineage: Eukaryota; Viridiplantae; Streptophyta; Magnoliopsida; Ericales; Ebenaceae. The record is from RefSeq and is a predicted model, not a curated record.
GAAAGCAAGUGCAAGGAAAGAAUAAAGAAAAAGCAAAGAAGAAAGGAAAAAGAGACUUGAUUGGAAAGUGGACAGCCGCGAAGAUCUGCCAUAACAGUCUUCCAAUCGGAGAGAAAUACAAACCCAGUAAGGUGUGAAGCCUUAAACAUUCAAAUCUUGUCCAACCAAGUUGAGGUGAUUAUGAAUGAGGAGACUGGAGAAAGGACGUGAAACAUGGUGGCUCCUUUAAAAAGGAUUUAUGUAAAUCUAGUGGCUAUUUG